Molecule: long non-coding RNA, 2481 nt
Filed under: Homo sapiens (human)
Lineage: Eukaryota; Metazoa; Chordata; Mammalia; Primates; Hominidae
Description: long non-coding RNA NONHSAT244548
Source: RNAcentral
ACAACUGAUCAAGGUGAUGAACGUGAACCUGGAACUAGCUCAUGUUUAAUUGCGCUAGUUUUUGCUCUCUCUAGCCACUAAGCUAGAAGUUUAAUGUGUAAUUAAAGAACUAAAUGCUUCUUAUGGAAAACCAAAAGGUCCUUUGAAAAGAGCUCAGGGAGACACGGAAGUAUAGUAAAGGGUUGUUGGAUUUCUUGCGCUUUCUGAGUCUGAAGCAAAGACAAAGAUUGGUAAUUACAGACAUAAUGGAUGGAAAAAGUCCAGACCUUGGGGUUUUUAGAUGAGUCAAUAUUAAAUGGCAUUCUUUGUGUCACUAAGCUGAACUCCCUUGUCUUCUAAGGAAGCAUUUCUAAUGCCAGAGGUAGUCAGCCAAGCUAGGUUCCUUAUCUUUUUAGUUCUAUGGAAAAACAUAUCAAGUUCUCUUAUGAGUGCUUUCCUGGAAAUCAGAUGAGAAAGAAAAAAAAGUAACAAUGUAACAAAUCAUUGUGAUGUUGUUAUAUUGUCGACAGAUAAAGGAUGGAUUUGAUCCUGCGUCUGAAACUAAGUAGGUAAUGGUAUCUACAAUAUAGAUCAUGCAAAAAGCUUGUGACCCUUCAACUGCAUGGAAGAGUGGGAGGAAACAACUAAGUGGGAGGAAACAAAUCUCAAAGUUCAACACCAUAAAACUUAAAUAAAUGUAAAAGGAGUCAAACUUUUACUUGGCCUCAUUGCCUUGGUAAAAGAAAGCUUCAUGUAUCCACCUAAUUCAAUAAGAGAGUCCUAGGAAAAGGAAGGCAAAAUACUUUAAAGGCACACAAAAAUAUUUCACUGGGGUGGUCAACAUGAUUAAGUGAUGGAGAUUAGAUUUAUCACUGAUGAAAACAGUAUUUAUAGAGUUAUUUUUAGACACUAUACCCCCUAGAUGCAAAUCCCAACAUGCACUGUGGUUGGCCGGAGAAUUGUGGCCACAUAGUAAACAGAUCUUGAUUUCAGAGAAUGAAAUGUUCCUACCGACUUUGUGUAAUUGCCCAUUUCAAGAUUAAGGCUCAGUGCCCAUUGUUUUAACACCGAUCAUCAAUACUGUGAUAUCAACUAAGCCAAUCUUUAUAAGAAUAUGAAGGGCUGUUUUUCUCAGGCAAUGUAAAUAUCUGCUACCAACAAGCACUAGUGAAAUAAACAUGUAAUCAUCAUCGUUUCUAAAACUCUGAUAGAAAUCACAAAACAUUCAAGCAAAAGGGCAAGGUCUUCCAGGAGCCUAGGAGCAGACUUUUGGCUACAAAGAGCCUAGUCCAGGCUGAAUGCCUUAUGGAGUAUGUCAGUCUUGGGUCUUAUCACUAAACACAACUAGUAGAACUCGAUCAACUGGAGUGCAGAGAUCAGAGUUUCGGUCAGCCGUGCAUUACCCAAACCUCUGGGUCUUCAGCCAGUCUUCUUAGAAGAGGGGAAGGAGCACUGUCCUCAGAUCCGGCCAUCACGGGCAUCGCCCUGACAUCAUCUCUCAGCAUUGCUGACUGUGGGCAUGGGUAUGAGAAAUACCCUCCCGUAGCUCAGACUUGGGCAGAACAAAAUCCUCAGCCAUGCCCACCCACUGAGGUCUCUCUAGGGGAGCUUCUCCCUGCAGGGUCUGGCUCUUGCCCAUCUGGACAAUGACCCCCUAGAAGUAUCUUCCGGGGGACCCUGUAUCUUUCAAGCUUAACUUGCCCCACACCCUUGACCCCACAGAGCACCUCCCUGGGUCAGGAAUGAUGACUAAAUUAAGACCUUUAGCAUCUGCUAAGCACAGGGGUGCCCUCCCAUGUGAAAGUCCAAGUAAAAUAAAUGGAGUCAGGGUAAGGAAAUCCCCAAAAGUUCUGAUUUUCUCAUGGUGAUGAUCUCAGUGCUUUUCUUUUUCAUGACAUAUCUAAUUCUCUUUUCUCUAGGAAGUCUCACGUUUUGGUAUCACGAUGCCGUGGGCACAGACUCAGUCAUCGGGCCAAUGGCAGAACUCUCUCCAGAUAGUCUGACCUGGUCCCUCUUUUUGAGUAAGGCUGGGAGUUUGGUUUGUUUGAGCCACCCCACAACCAAUAGAAUCCCACCCUGGCUAAGAAAUCUCACAAGGCCGGGUGCUGUGGCUCACACCUGUAAUCUCAGCACUUUGGGAGGCCAAGGUGGCAGAUCACCUGAGGCCAGGAGUUUGAGACCAGCCUGGCCAAUAUGGUAAUACCCCGCCUCUACUAAAAAUAUGAAAAAGUUAGCUGGGCAUGGUAGUUCCUGCCUGUACACCCAGCUACUCUGGAGGCUGAGGCACAAGAAUAGCUUAAACUUGGGAGGGGGAGGUUGCAGUAAGCUGAGAUCAUGCCACUGCACUCCAGCCUGGGCCACGGAGCGAGACUCAGUCUCAAAAAAAGAAAGAAAAGAAGGAAGGAAGGAAGGAAGGAAGGAAGGAAGGAAGGAAGGAAGGAAGGAAAAAAGAUAAAGAAAGAAGGAAGGAAGGAAGGAAAGAAAGAAGGAAGGAAGGAAGAA